Molecule: non-coding RNA, 286 nt
Filed under: Phascolarctos cinereus (koala)
Lineage: Eukaryota; Metazoa; Chordata; Mammalia; Diprotodontia; Phascolarctidae
Source: RNAcentral
GCUGGGAAUUCUGGUUCACACCUGUAAUUCAUGCUAUUGGGGCAGCUGAGGCUGCUGGAUCUCUUGAGAUUGGGAGUUCUAUGCUGUGGUGAGUGAGGCUACCAGACAUCCACACUAAGUCUGGAGUCUCUGUGGUGAGUCCCUGGGAACAGGAGCUCACCAGAUUUCCUAAGGAGGGGGCAAAGCAGCCCAGGUCCAAAAUGGACAAAAUCAAAGCAGUAUAGAGAUUGCCCUUGGGAGUUGCCACGGCAUUCCAGCCUAGGUAGUAAGGGGAGAUCCAGCCUUC